Molecule: transfer RNA, 75 nt
Filed under: Fusarium oxysporum
Lineage: Eukaryota; Fungi; Ascomycota; Sordariomycetes; Hypocreales; Nectriaceae
Description: tRNA-Asp
Rfam family: tRNA
About the family: Transfer RNA (tRNA) molecules are approximately 80 nucleotides in length. Their secondary structure includes four short double-helical elements and three loops (D, anti-codon, and T loops).
Source: RNAcentral
AGAAUUAGUAACUUAAAUAGGUAAAGGACUUCCUUGUCACGGAAGUAGAUGUCGGUUCGAUUCUGAUCUAAUUCG